Molecule: RNA transcript, 2865 nt
Organism: Sorghum bicolor (sorghum)
Lineage: Eukaryota; Viridiplantae; Streptophyta; Magnoliopsida; Poales; Poaceae
Gene name: beta-glucosidase-like SFR2, chloroplastic
Exons: 12
Source: RefSeq, a predicted model, not a curated record
CACACAGCGGCCGAGAGAGAGAGAGAGAGGCGCACAGUGUUGCGGAAAUGCCGCUCCCGGCGUUCCUGGCGGCGGCGGCGAGGCUGGCCGUCCUGGUGGCCGCUGCCGUGACGGCGGCCAACGCGGCCUCCUUCGCGCGGUACCGGCGCCGCCACCUCCGCCGCAUCCCCAACCCCAUCGACGAGUCCGCCGACCCCAUCGCCGACUUCCGCGCCCUCCCCUCCAACUCCGCCGCCGCCUCCGCCGGCGAGGAUGUCGCAGAAGAUGGCAAUUUCUUCUUUGGGCUAGCGACUGCGCCGGCGCAUGUCGAGGACAGGUUGGAAGAUGCUUGGCUUCAGUUUGCAGUGGAGCAUUCCUGUGAUGACAAGGAGGCCAUGCGCGACCAUAAGACAGCAGACGCGGUGAUGGCAUCGGCUGCAGGGGAUGGAGGCGCUCAGCUGGCUUCUAGGUCCAGAGGGGACGAAAAGGCUGUUGAUGGAGAGAAGAGGAAGCCUCUUAAGGUUGCCAUGGAGGCGAUGCUCAGGGGGUUUGAAAUGUUUGCUUACGGUGGUGAAGCUGGUUCUGGCGAUAACUGCAGCCACAACGUCGCAGCUUGGCACAAUGUUCCUUGCCCGCAAGAAAGGCUUAAAUUUUGGUCUGAUCCUGAUACUGAGUUGAAACUCGCUAAGGAAACCGGGAUCAGUGUUUUCCGCCUGGGAAUUGAUUGGACAAGGGUAAUGCCUAAGGCACCAACUGAAGAAUCCAAGAGUUCAGUCAACUUCGCAGCACUUGAGCGGUAUAGAUGGAUCAUUCAAAGAGUUCAUGAAUAUGGAAUGAAAGUGAUGCUUACGCUAUUUCACCACUCACUUCCACCUUGGGCUGGGGAAUAUGGGGGGUGGAGGAUGGAAAAAACCGUGAAGUACUUUAUGGAUUUUGUGAGGCUUGUUGUUGAUCGUGUAUCUGAUUUGGUAGACUACUGGGUGGUUUUUAAUGAACCUCAUGUGUUUGUAAUGCUGACCUAUUGUGCUGGUGCUUGGCCUGGUGGAGACCCUAAUGCAAUUGAAGUAGCAACAUCUGCUUUACCGACUGGUGUAUAUAACCAAGCAUUACAUUGGAUGGCUAUUGCACAUGCAGAAGCCUAUGACUACAUACAUUCAGAAAGCAAAAGUAAAAGGAAGCCAUUCGUUGGUGUCGCUCAUCAUGUAUCAUUUACACGGCCCUAUGGUCUAUUUGAUGUUGCUGCUGUCACACUGGCUAAUUCAUUGACCCUUUUCCCUUACGUUGAUAGCAUAUGUGAUAAAUUGGAUUUUAUCGGCAUCAACUACUAUGGGCAGGAGGUGAUAUCAGGCCCUGGUCUAAAGCUCGUGGACAAUGACGAGUACAGUGAAUCUGGUCGUGGUGUUUAUCCUGAUGGGCUGUUUCGUAUCCUGAUUCAGUUUAAUGAACGAUACAAGAGCUUAAAUAUACCUUUUAUAAUUACUGAAAAUGGAGUUUCUGACGAGACUGAUCUGAUUCGGAAACCAUAUAUUCUGGAGCACCUGUUAGCCAUUUAUGCUGCAAUCAUUAUGGGUGUGCCUGUGCUUGGUUAUCUAUUCUGGACGAUGUCAGAUAAUUGGGAAUGGGCUGAUGGCUAUGGUCCUAAGUUUGGGCUUGUGGCUGUUGAUCGUGCUAACAACCUAGCACGGAAACCUAGGCCUUCAUACUAUUUAUUCUCCAAGGUUGUUACAACUGGGAAAAUUACAAGACAGGACAGGCUGGGUGCUUGGAGGGAGCUGCAACAAGCAGCAUUUCAGAAGAAAACACGCCCAUUUUUCAGGGCAGUAGAUAAACAUGGUCGGAUGUAUGCAGGGGGUUUAGAUCGGCCUAUCCAGAGACCAUUCAUAUUGCGGGAUUGGCGAUUUGGUCAUUAUGAAAUGGAAGGCUUGCAGGAUCCUUUCAGUCGCUUUAUAAGAUCCAUUUUUUCACCAAUUUUGCGCAAGAAGAAGAUUCAUUACAUUGAGUAUGAGGAUAUUUCUUAUGCUAUUUCCCCCUGAUGCUUGUUACUCUAGUUGGUAAGUAGCAUGAUUUGUCCUCUAGAUAAAGUAAACAAAAAGUCCUGUGAAGCAGAAGUUUCUCUUUUUUGUUGAUAAAUUGCAAUGUGCACUAUUUAUCCUGGCAGUUUAUCCUGACACCUGGGACCCUUCUGCAGCAACUUACUGGCACCUAAAGUUGACUUACGGAUCUAUCUAGUACACUCUUCAUUUAAGACGAAAUAUUUAUGCAUGGUGAUUAGUUGAGAUCAUGUGCGAAGAAAAGCAUCAGAUCGGAGUGGAGUCCAUAGUUCGUUAAGCUCUUGUAUGAAGUCCAUGUGCAAUAUGGAGUGCCGGAUUGUGUUAUGUACUUGGUGUCAACCGAUUUAACUGACUUGGUUGAGUAAUGGAAUCCAAAUUCUACCUAUAUAAGAGAAGUCCAUGUGCAAUAUAAUACUGAAGGCAUCAGGAUAUACAUAGGAAGCAAAAGAUGAGGAUACAUAUAUACUUUAUUAAUUCGGCAACGUUGCACGGAUGGAAACACCAAGACAAGUCCAAGAUUGUUGACGGUGGAUGAUGCAUUGAUCCUUCGAUGCAACUUCGUUUGCUAGAGGAAGAAGAUAUCGGGAGGCACAUCCAAAUAGGUAGGCGCACGUACGUGAUGACCGGUGACGUCUUCUUUUGGAUACAUCGGCGGAGGAACAAAGACCGACAUAAUUGUGUAUGUACGUAUGCAAAACACCGAAUAUGUUUCUAUUCGGCUUGGAAUUCCUAUAUUGUAAAUGAAAGACCAGCCGCCAUAUAAAGGAUGACAGCCAAUCUGAGAGAUGCAACAUCUGAUCAUGAAAAUCAAUAUGGUUUUUUUUUGUCUUCUAUA